CUGGAGGUAUCAGAAGUGCGAAUGCUGACAUAAGUAACGAUAAAGCGGGUGAAAAGCCCGCUCGCCGGAAGACCAAGGGUUCCUGUCCAACGUUAAUCGGGGCAGGGUGAGUCGACCCCUAAGGCGAGGCCGAAAGGCGUAGUCGAUGGGAAACGGGUUAAUAUUCCCGUACUUGGUGUUACUGCGAAGGGGGGACGGAGAAGGCUAUGUUGGCCGGGCGACGGUUGUCCCGGUUUAAGCGUGUAGGCUGGUUUUCCAGGCAAAUCCGGAAAAUCAAGGCUGAGGCGUGACGACGAGGCACUACGGUGCUGAAGCAACAAAUGCCCUGCUUCCAGGAA
This 338-nucleotide ribosomal RNA is filed under the name Salmonella enterica. Its description in RNAcentral is "partial 23S ribosomal RNA". It matches the Rfam family "Bacterial large subunit ribosomal RNA", at positions 1273 to 1614 of the family's 2925-position model. The record is from RNAcentral. Lineage: Bacteria; Pseudomonadati; Pseudomonadota; Gammaproteobacteria; Enterobacterales; Enterobacteriaceae.